RNAcentral lists this ribosomal RNA (305 nucleotides) under Foraminifera environmental sample. RNAcentral's name for it is "SSU rRNA". It matches the Rfam family "Eukaryotic small subunit ribosomal RNA", at positions 1176 to 1343 of the family's 1831-position model. Lineage: Eukaryota; Foraminifera. The record is from RNAcentral.
GUGGAGCAUGUGGCUUAAUUUGACUCAACGCGGGAAAUCUUACCGGGUCCGGACACACUGAGGAUUGACAGGCGGACGCCAGUGUCCUGUUUCGGCAGCCCUGGCUACAAAUAUGCUAGUCCUUUCAUGAUUGUGUGAUAGGUGGUGCAUGGCCGUUCUUAGUUCGUGGAGUGAUCUGUCUGCUUAAUUGCGUUUCAGUUUAUGGACUCAAAACUCCGAUGAGAGCGGUGACCUCCGCUGCGCCUCGGUGCGCGGAGUUGUCCCUUCUCUCGGUAUGCAGUCCUUGAAGGCAACGAACGUGACCG